AGCAGCCGCGGUAAUUCCAGCUCCAAUAGCGUAUAUUAAAGUUGUUGCAGUUAAAAAGCUCGUAGUUGAAUUUCGGGGUCAGUAGGUCGGUCGUGCCACUGGUAUGAACUGGUUUCACUGAUUCCUCCCUCUUGUAGAACCGUGAUGCCAUUAAUUUGGUGUUGCGGGGAAACAGGACUGUUACUUUGAAAAAAUUAGAGUGUUUAAAGCAAGCUAACGCUUGAAUACAUUAGCAUGGAAUAAUGAAAUAGGACGUCUGUCUUAUUUUGUUGGUUUCUAGGAUGGACGUAAUGAUUAAUAGGGAUAGUUGGGGGCAUUAGUAUUCAACUGUCAGAGGUGAAAUUCUUGGAUUUAUUGAAGACUAACUACUGCGAAAGCAUUUGCCAAGGAUGUUUUCAUUAAUCAAGAACGAAGGUUAGGGGAUCGAAGACGAUCAGAUACCGUCGUAGUCUUAACCAUAAACUAUGCCGACUAGGGAUCGGAUGAUGUUAAUUUUUUAAUGACUCAUUCGGCGCCUUAC
Molecule: ribosomal RNA, 520 nt
Filed under: uncultured Glomus
Lineage: Eukaryota; Fungi; Glomeromycota; Glomeromycetes; Glomerales; Glomeraceae
Description: SSU rRNA
Rfam family: Eukaryotic small subunit ribosomal RNA
Source: RNAcentral